RNAcentral lists this transfer RNA (73 nucleotides) under Canis lupus familiaris (dog). It matches the Rfam family "tRNA". From Rfam's summary of the family: Transfer RNA (tRNA) molecules are approximately 80 nucleotides in length. Their secondary structure includes four short double-helical elements and three loops (D, anti-codon, and T loops). Further hydrogen bonds mediate the characteristic L-shaped molecular structure. tRNAs have two regions of fundamental functional importance: the anti-codon, which is responsible for specific mRNA codon recognition, and the 3' end, to which the tRNAs corresponding amino acid is attached (by aminoacyl-tRNA synthetases). tRNAs cope with the degeneracy of the genetic code in two manners: having more than one tRNA (with a specific anti-codon) for a particular amino acid; and 'wobble' base-pairing, i.e. permitting non-standard base-pairing at the 3rd anti-codon position. RNAcentral also lists the same sequence under 1 other name. Lineage: Eukaryota; Metazoa; Chordata; Mammalia; Carnivora; Canidae. The record is from Rfam by way of RNAcentral.
GCCUGGUUGGCUCAGUUGGUAGUGUGUGUGACUGUUGAUUUCAGGAUUGUGAGUUUAAACCCCACAUUGGGUA